ACAGAUUUUUUCGGAAUGAAGUUGCUUAUGACUGAGUGGCGGACGGGUGAGUAACGCGUGGGUAACCUGCCUUGUACUGGGGGAUAGCAGCUGGAAACGGCUGGUAAUACCGCAUAAGCGCACAAUGUUGCAUGACAUGGUGUGAAAAACUCCGGUGGUAUAAGAUGGACCCGCGUCUGAUUAGCUAGUUGGUGAGAUAACAGCCCACCAAGGCGACGAUCAGUAGCCGACCUGAGAGGGUGACCGGCCACAUUGGGACUGAGACACGGCCCAAACUCCUACGGGAGGCAGCAGUGGGGAAUAUUGCACAAUGGGGGAAACCCUGAUGCAGCGACGCCGCGUGAGCGAAGAAGUAUUUCGGUAUGUAAAGCUCUAUCAGCAGGGAAGAAGAAAUGACGGUACCUGACUAAGAAGCACCGGCUAAAUACGUGCCAGCAGCCGCGGUAAUACGUAUGGUGCAAGCGUUAUCCGGAUUUACUGGGUGUAAAGGGAGCGCAGGCGGAAGGCUAAGUCUGAUGUGAAAGCCCGGGGCUCAACCCCGGUACUGCAUUGGAAACUGGUCAUCUAGAGUGUCGGAGGGGUAAGUGGAAUUCCUAGUGUAGCGGUGAAAUGCGUAGAUAUUAGGAGGAACACCAGUGGCGAAGGCGGCUUACUGGAC
This 658-nucleotide ribosomal RNA is filed under the name uncultured Lachnospiraceae bacterium. RNAcentral describes it as "bacterial SSU rRNA". It matches the Rfam family "Bacterial small subunit ribosomal RNA", at positions 66 to 734 of the family's 1533-position model. The record is from RNAcentral. Lineage: Bacteria; Bacillati; Bacillota; Clostridia; Lachnospirales; Lachnospiraceae.